Molecule: RNA transcript, 1661 nt
Organism: Mercurialis annua (annual mercury)
Lineage: Eukaryota; Viridiplantae; Streptophyta; Magnoliopsida; Malpighiales; Euphorbiaceae
Gene name: serine/arginine-rich splicing factor SR30-like
Exons: 13
Source: RefSeq, a predicted model, not a curated record
ACUGGAAAGCGGAAAUGCCACACCUGUUCAUGGUUCCAGAAGAAUCCUAAAACUACAAAAACUGGAAACACUCUCACACCUAUUAAUCCUUACACUACGACAAGCUUAAUAUAUUUUCCGUUUAAUUCCUCUUCACAGAUUAAAAAAUCAAAAAAAAAAAGAUGAGCAGCCGUGCCAGUCGGACUCUUUACGUAGGCAAUCUUCCCGGGGAUAUUCGACAGAGAGAAGUUAAAGAUUUGUUUUACAAGUAUGGACCCAUUGUUGAAAUUGAUCUGAAAGUCCCACCAAGACCCCCUGGCUAUGCUUUUGUUGAGUUCGAAGAUGCUCGCGACGCUGAAGAUGCUAUCCGUGGUCGUGAUGGAUAUAAGUUUGAUGGGUAUAGAUUACGAGUGGAGCUUGCACAUGGUGGUCGGAGGAAUUCAUCUCCAGAAGAUCGUUAUAGCAGCUAUAGUCGGAGCAGUGGAAGUCGUGGGCCUUCCAAACACUCUGAUUAUCGUGUUCUAGUCACUGGAUUACCUUCUUCUGCUUCGUGGCAAGAUCUCAAGGAUCAUAUGCGACGAGCUGGGGAUGUCUGCUUCUCUCAAGUGUUCCGUGACCGUGGUGGCAUGACCGGAAUUGUAGAUUACACAAACUAUGAUGAUAUGAAGCGCUCUAUUAGGAAACUUGAUGACUCUGAGUUUCGAAAUGCAUUUUCUCGAUCUUAUAUACGGGUGAGGGCAUAUGAUUCGAGAAGGAGCUACUCAAGGAGUCCCAGUCGUAGCUCGUAUGACCGCAAUGGGAGAAGAAGCUGGAGCCGAAGCCGCAGUCUUAGUCGCAGCGGUAGCUACAGUGACAGGAGUAGGAGCUAUUCUCCGGCAGCUAAAUAUUCUCGUCGAUCUCCGUCUGUAUCUUCUCGUAGAUCUCUUUCUCCACGUUCUGCUGCAGGAUCAUCUCCCAGAUCUUCCAGAUCUGGCUUUGUACGGCAACCUGGGGAUUGGAUGUUAGGAACUUGAUGUUAUGUGGUGCUCAUAUACCUUCAUCUCUUUGUUGGUUGAGGUAAUGCAUUUUUAUUGAUGAGCAGUCAAGCACCUCUCAAUCAUACUGACUGUUUUAUAGUUCUGUUAUCAUGGUGUGUCAUUUAGUGCUAGAGUUCAUCAAGUGUGGAUGGAUUGCACUGUUAAAGCUGGAUUACUCAGAAGUCAGAAUUAAGUGCUAUUAGUACCAUCCCACAUAUCAGCGAUGCAUAUGAAACUUAAAACCACUUCAACGUCUAUUUCUUCCUGGACUUGGUGGUAUGUGUAAGAAGACUUUAGUUCUUCUCUAAUCUGGAAGUGAAUGAGGAAGAUGUCCUCGACUUUGCCAAUUUACUUCAUGGUGCUAUAGUGAAUUUUCUAUGUUCAUGUUGAUUAGUUCUCAUAAGCUUCUGGUAGAAAUUCCAAAUACUGGUGCUAAUUCCUGAUCCUUCUUGUUGCUGAUCACCUUGAGGUGGAAGUGGCAUCGAGGCUUUUGGAUCAAGGAUUUUAAUGGAUUGUUAUGGAUAAUUGGAUUGUUUCUGGAAUUUUUGCAGAUCUAGGUCAAGAUCAGAAUCUCCACUUGCAUCCCCUUCUAUCAAACAAGCAGGUAAGCGAGCAACCAAACGUAGUAGAAGCCGAAGCAGCGAGUCUCAGUCCCGUUCCCCCGCG